UGAUGUCAUCUAUGAUGUCAUGAGGGUGGUGGCCAUCAACAUUACAGCCCAUAGACUGGGCAGUCCCCGGAAUCUCUUUAAUGGUUCCAGAGAGUUCUCUGGCUAAGGAUCGGUGCCGCAUCUGUCGAGCAAUGUUGACGAUCUCAUCAAAAGUGAUAUUCCCAUUGUGUUUAAUGUUUUUCUGUUUCUUUCUGUCUCUUGGUGGUUUCUUGAGGGCUUUGAUGAUCGGGGCAGAGGCAGAAGGCACCACCUCAAUCUGGGCCUGUCUGUUCUCAAUGGUCAGUUUCACUGUAAUCCUCAGGCCCUUCCAGUCACCCGUUGCCUUGGCAAUGUCAUCACCAACCUUUUUUGGUGACAGACCCAGGGGGCCGAUCUUGGGGGCCAGGGCAGAAGUGGCACCGACUUCACCUCUGGUGCACCUCAGCUCAAAAAGUUUCCAAGAAGACAGGACCCCGGUGUUCCACAGCUAUUGCCACAGGGUUGAAGAACCAGAAGCCAGUUCCUGCUGUUCCUGUCCAGAAGUCUGGCACAUCAGGUGUUCCUCCCAUGGCAGGAGGGAAGAAACCCAGCAAACGUCCAGCCUGGGACUUAAAGGGUCAGUUAUGUGACCUAAAUGCAGAACUAAAACGGUGCCGUGAGAGGACUCAAACGUUGGACCAAGAGAACC
Molecule: small RNA, 667 nt
Filed under: Homo sapiens (human)
Lineage: Eukaryota; Metazoa; Chordata; Mammalia; Primates; Hominidae
Description: kinesin family member C1 (ENSG00000204197.9)
Source: RNAcentral